ACUCCUACGGGAGGCAGCAGUGGGGAAUAUUGCACAAUGGGGGAAACCCUGAUGCAGCCAUGCCGCGUGUGUGAAGAAGGCCUUCGGGUUGUAAAGCACUUUCAGUAGGGAGGAAGGUAGUGUAGUUAACACCUGCAUUAUUUGACGUUACCUACAGAAGAAGCACCGGCUAACUCCGUGCCAGCAGCCGCGGUAAUACGGAGGGUGCGAGCGUUAAUCGGAAUUACUGGGCGUAAAGCGCAUGCAGGCGGCCUGUUAAGUCAGAUGUGAAAGCCCGGGGCUCAACCUCGGAAUUGCAUUUGAAACUGGCAGACUAGAGUACUGUAGAGGGGGGUAGAAUUUCAGGUGUAGCGGUGAAAUGCGUAGAGAUCUGAAGGAAUACCGGUGGCGAAGGCGGCCCCCUGGACAGAUACUGACACUCAGAUGCGAAAGCGUGGGGAGCAAACAGGAUUAGAUACCCUGGUAGGAUAGCG
Molecule: ribosomal RNA, 473 nt
Filed under: uncultured bacterium
Lineage: Bacteria
Description: bacterial SSU rRNA
Rfam family: Bacterial small subunit ribosomal RNA
Source: RNAcentral